This 415-nucleotide long non-coding RNA is filed under the name Lathyrus oleraceus (garden pea). Its description in RNAcentral is "Pisum sativum (pea) long non-coding RNA (PSAT_LNC004848)". Lineage: Eukaryota; Viridiplantae; Streptophyta; Magnoliopsida; Fabales; Fabaceae. The record is from RNAcentral.
CUCAAACCGAGUUGUUUGCAAAAUUUUGCCUUUUGCUUAUGUCUAAGUAGGGAGCAUUAUUGAAUAAAUUUGGUUUUGGAAUCUAAAGUUGGGGAGAGUAAAGUGAAAAGUUGAUUAGAAACUUGGAAAAGUGAGUUUUUAUGAAAGGGUAAAAAUAUGAAAAGAAACAAGAAAAAGAAAUUACCCUUGAAACCAUAGAGCAAAGAAAAAAGAAUAGAAAAAAAAAGCAAAGAAAAUGCUCAUGGUUGUGUGGAUUUGAAAAGAAAAAAAAAAGAAAAAGAAAAAGAUAGGGAUCAAAGAAAGGGAAAUUGUGUAGAGUUAAAUGUUUGAGAAUGCUCCCUUAGGAUAGGCAAUUUGGUUGAAUUCUCUUAAUCAUAUCCUUUCUUGUAACCUAAGCCACAUUACAACCUUUGAA